Molecule: ribosomal RNA, 486 nt
Filed under: uncultured bacterium
Lineage: Bacteria
Description: bacterial SSU rRNA
Rfam family: Bacterial small subunit ribosomal RNA
Source: RNAcentral
AGUGAACGCUGGCGGCAGGCCUAACACAUGCAAGUCGAACGGCAGCACGGCAGUAGCAAUACUGUGGGUGGCGAGUGGCGGACGGGUGAGGAAUACAUCGGGAUCUACCCUGUUGUGGGGGAUAACGUAGGGAAACUUACGCUAAUACCGCAUAAGAACUGAGGUUGAAAGCGGCGGACCGCAAGGCGUCGCGCGAUUGGAUGAACCGAUGUCCGAUUAGCUAGUUGGCGGGGUAAAGGCCCACCAAGGCGACGAUCGGUAGCUGGUCUGAGAGGACGACCAGCCACACUGGAACUGAGACACGGUCCAGACUCCUACGGGAGGCAGCAGUGGGGAAUAUUGGACAAUGGGCGCAAGCCUGAUCCAGCCAUGCCGCGUGGGUGAAGAAGGCCUCGGUUGUAAGACUCUUCGUCCGGGACGAAAGUACGCACAGGUAAUACCCUAGUGUGGAUGACGGUACCGGAAUAAGAAGACACCGGCGUAACU